Molecule: ribosomal RNA, 443 nt
Filed under: uncultured bacterium
Lineage: Bacteria
Description: bacterial SSU rRNA
Rfam family: Bacterial small subunit ribosomal RNA
Source: RNAcentral
ACUCCUACGGGAGGCAGCAGUGGGGAAUAUUGCACAAUGGGGGAAACCCUGAUGCAGCCAUGCCGCGUGUGUGAAGAAGGCCUUGGGUUGUAAAGCACUUUCAGUAGGGAGGAAGGUAGUGUAGUUAACACCUGCAUUAUUUGACGUUACCUACAGAAGAAGCACCGGCUAACUCCGUGCCAGCAGCCGCGGUAAUACGGAGGGUGCGAGCGUUAAUCGGAAUUACUGGGCGUAAAGCGCAUGCAGGCGGCCUGUUAAGUCAGAUGUGAAAGCCCGGGGCUUAACCUCGGAAUUGCAUUUGAAACUGGCAGGCUAGAGUCUUGUAGAGGGGUAGAAUUUCAGGUGUAGCGGUGAAAUGCGUAGAGAUCUGAAGGAAUACCAGUGGCGAAGGCGGCCCCCUGGACAAAGACUGACGCUCAGAUGCGAAAGCGUGGGAGGCAAAC